GGGGGGGGUGCCUAAUACAUGCAGUCGAACGAGUUCUGAUUAUUGAAAGGUGCUUGCAUCUUGAUUUAAUUUUGAACGAGUGGCGGACGGGUGAGUAACACGUGGGUAACCUGCCCUUAAGUGGGGGAUAACAUUUGGAAACAGAUGCUAAUACCGCAUAAAUCCAAGAACCGCAUGGUUCUUGGCUGAAAGAUGGCGUAAGCUAUCGCUUUUGGAUGGACCCGCGGCGUAUUAGCUAGUUGGUGAGGUAACGGCUCACCAAGGCAAUGAUACGUAGCCGAACUGAGAGGUUGAUCGGCCACAUUGGGACUGAGACACGGCCCAAACUCCUACGGGAGGCAGCAGUAGGGAAUCUUCCACAAUGGACGCAAGUCUGAUGGAGCAACGCCGCGUGAGUGAAGAAGGCUUUCGGGUCGUAAAACUCUGUUGUUGGAGAAGAAUGGUCGGCAGAGUAACUGUUGUCGGCGUGACGGUAUCCAACCAGAAAGCCACGGCUAACUACGUGCCAGCAGCCGCGGUAAUACGUAGGUGGCAAGCGUUAUCCGGAUUUAUUGGGCGUAAAGCGAGCGCAGGCGGUUUUUUAAGUCUGAUGUGAAAGCCCUCGGCUUAACCGAGGAAGUGCAUCGGAAACUGGGAAACUUGAGUGCAGAAGAGGACAGUGGAACUCCAUGUGUAGCGGUGAAAUGCGUAGAUAUAUGGAAGAACACCAGUGGCGAAGGCGGCUGUCUGGUCUGUAACUGACGCUGAGGCUCGAAAGCAUGGGUAGCGAACAGGAUUAGAUACCCUGGUAGUCCAUGCCGUAAACGAUGAAUGCUAGGUGUUGGAGGGUUUCCGCCCUUCAGUGCCGCAGCUAACGCAUUAAGCAUUCCGCCUGGGGAGUACGACCGCAAGGUUGAAACUCAAAGGAAUUGACGGGGGCCCGCACAAGCGGUGGAGCAUGUGGUUUAAUUGGAAGCAACGCGAAGAACCUUACCAGGUCUUGACAUCUUUUGAUCACCUGAGAGAUCAGGUUUCCCCUUCGGGGGCAAAAUGACAGGUGGUGCAUGGUUGUCGUCAGCUCGUGUCGUGAGAUGUUGGGUUAAGUCCCGCAACGAGCGCAACCCUUAUGACUAGUUGCCAGCAUUUAGUUGGGCACUCUAGUAAGACUGCCGGUGACAAACCGGAGGAAGGUGGGGAUGACGUCAAAUCAUCAUGCCCCUUAUGACCUGGGCUACACACGUGCUACAAUGGAUGGUACAACGAGUUGCGAGACCGCGAGGUCAAGCUAAUCUCUUAAAGCCAUUCUCAGUUCGGACUGUAGGCUGCAACUCGCCUACACGAAGUCGGAAUCGCUAGUAAUCGCGGAUCAGCACGCCGCGGUGAAUACGUUCCCGGGCCUUGUACACACCGCCCGUCACACCAUGAGAGUUUGUAACACCCGAAGCCGGUGGCGUAACCCUUUUAGGGAGCGAGCCGUCUAAGGUGACAAAAU
Molecule: ribosomal RNA, 1471 nt
Filed under: Lacticaseibacillus rhamnosus
Lineage: Bacteria; Bacillati; Bacillota; Bacilli; Lactobacillales; Lactobacillaceae
Description: bacterial SSU rRNA
Rfam family: Bacterial small subunit ribosomal RNA
Source: RNAcentral